This 441-nucleotide long non-coding RNA is filed under the name Lathyrus oleraceus (garden pea). RNAcentral's name for it is "Pisum sativum (pea) long non-coding RNA (PSAT_LNC035437)". The record is from RNAcentral. Lineage: Eukaryota; Viridiplantae; Streptophyta; Magnoliopsida; Fabales; Fabaceae.
AAGAAUAUCAUGUACGAGAGAAGAGGUUGAGAUCAUCAAGGUGAAGAGAACAAAAACAUGGCUAGUUUGUUCUCUAACAGGAGGGCUUCCAAAUCUUCUGUUAGAAUUGAGGGUAUCCAUACACCUCUCAAUAAGAUUUACUCUAGAAGAUCUUCGUUGCACCAUCCCAUAGACUAGACGAGUAAGGUGUCAGGUAUCAGACUUGUUCUCGAGACACAUCAUCGACUAUCAUAUUGCCAUCUUCAUGACCACAUAGCACCCUACAUCCACAAGGUUAAAAAAAAUGAAGACCACACAAAUGAAUUCAUCAUUAACAUUCACAUCAUACUCAUAUUAUACAUUUGAGAUUGAAUUAAAUCAUACAUCCAAUACAUACAACAACACAACUCAGCACUCAUGGCAUCAUUGACAUUCACCAUACUAACAAAUUCAACAAGCGAC